Passer montanus (Eurasian tree sparrow) is the source of this 503-nucleotide long non-coding RNA. RefSeq lists it as uncharacterized. The transcript is spliced from 4 exons. The record is from RefSeq and is a predicted model, not a curated record. Lineage: Eukaryota; Metazoa; Chordata; Aves; Passeriformes; Passeridae.
CAGUGGCACCCAAUGCCCAGUUUUGUAACAGAGACCCCUAAGCCUUCUCUGUGCAGCUGGUUCAGCCACACAGCUGGGGGGAAGGAGACUCUGGGGCUGGGAACACUCACAACAGGAGAGCUGGAUAUAGCUGGCAGUGCAAGGAGAGACCUCUCAAGAGAGAGCAGCAGGAGGCAUUGCAAGCAGAUCUUUGAUGCUGCGGAUGAGAGAUGGACCCUGGUGAAAACUGGAAGCUGGAUGAAACAAACUGGUUGUCUCAUGGUGGGAUCCACCCCUUUUCCAAUGUGAAAGGAGACAAUGAGCUCUCCGAAGGUGCCCCAGCCCUCUUUGCUCUGGAUCAGCUGGUCAUCUACUGGAGGGGACACUAGGAGCUCUCAAACUUUGCAAUAACCAGUGUGGUCCUCCUUGUCUUAGGUCAACAGUGACUAACCAGAAGAAAAAAGAAAGAAAACAAACCACCCUUUCCUUUCUUCAUCUCCUCUCUCACAGCUUUAGCUGCUGGA